This is a long non-coding RNA of Felis catus (domestic cat), 1686 nucleotides long. RefSeq lists it as uncharacterized. The record is from RefSeq and is a predicted model, not a curated record. The transcript has 3 exons. Lineage: Eukaryota; Metazoa; Chordata; Mammalia; Carnivora; Felidae.
CCCAGCAAUUCCACCCCUAAGUAAUGAGAUAGAAAGAGAAAGGAAGACAUGUUCACACACAGACUUAUACACAAAUGUUCAUAACAGCAUCAUUCAUAAUAGGCAGAGUGUGGAAACAAACAAAUGUCUCUCCACUGGUGAACGGACACAUGCAUGUGGUGUGUCUGUCCUUACGGCGAAACAUUAUUUAGCAGUCAAGAGGAAUGAAGUACUGAUUCAGUUAUAACAUGAAUGAACUCGAAACUUUAUGCUGUGUGAAGAAAGCCAGACAGAAAAGGCCACAUAUUCCGUGAUUCCAUUUUUUUUUUCAUGGCACGGCCAGAAUAGGCAAAUCUAUAGAGACAGAAAGCAGAUCAGCGGUUGUCUAGGGUUGGGGGGUGGCAAGGAGGAAAUGAAGAAUGACUGCUGAUGGAUUUUUGAUCGACAAAAAUGCUCCAAAAUUGAUGGUGGCGAUGGUUAUACAACUCUGCCAGCACACUAAAAACCCGUGAAUUGUGCACUUGGAACGAGGUGUCUGUGUGUGAAUUACAUCUCCAUAAAGCUGUUAUAAAGACCACUUGGAGGGUGACUGGCAUGUGAUCUUCAUGGCGUAAGCGUUAGCUCUGAUGAUGACGGGGGCAGUGGGGUGGUGGUGGUUGCCCGUAACUGUUCGAAACACGCAGCGUGCCUUACUGUGAAGCAUUCUGUUGUAUAGGAUCUCCUCUAUCGAAGAUCUAGGUCACUAGUGGAUUAUGAAAAUGCUAACAAAGCACUGGAUAAAGCAAGAGCGAAAAAUAAAGAUGUUCUUCAGGCUGAGACAUCCCAACAAUUAUGUUGUCAGAAAUUUGAAAAAAUAUCUGAAUCUGCAAAACAAGAACUUAUAGAUUUUAAGACGAGAAGAGUUGCCGCAUUCAGAAAAAAUUUAGUGGAACUGGCAGAGUUAGAACUGAAGCAUGCAAAGGGUAACCUACAGUUGCUGCAGAACUGCUUGGCAGUGUUAAAUGGAGACACAUAAGCCACACUCCGCCUUUGGUUAAAAAGGGCUGCCUUCCUUCAGAUUUUAUUUUUGUUUUCUUAAUGAGAUUAGGCAUUUACUGCUCACUGGAAACAAAAGAAACAGCUGACCAAGUGCAUCUACUCUCCUUUUUUUCUGAGAAGCGAUGGAGCGGUGCCGUCCACGGGUUUUGCGGGUCCGUCCGUCCGUGUGGUGGAACGCUGCCCUCCUGCAGCUCCCCGUGUGCUCCCUGGGACGGUUGUCCAUCACCGUGCGCUCCUCCUCUUCCGAAGCCCAGCGUUCAGUCCUUUUUUAAGUAGCCUCUGUAACUGUCUUUAUUUUCUGAAUAGCGUUCCUUAUGGCUGCCAAUCUUAUUUCCCUUUAAGUAAUUUCUGAUGUUUAACCCUUUCAAAGAUGCAUUGUUCAGACAAGAUAAAGGUUGCCAUUACCUUUUGUUUUCUUUUGGUGUUUUUGUUAUGUUUUGUUUUGUUUUUUUAAAAACAUUGUAUGCCACCUUAGUUCAUCCAUGUAUCCUGGUAAAAGCAUCUUAAUCAGACUUAUUUUUAAUUAAUGAACAUUUCUUAGAAGUUUUGGGACAGACUUUAUGUAAUCUUUAUAAGUAUGAUUUCUGAUGAAAAGCGACUGCAUUAGUAUGUUUGCCUUAAACUUGUAGACUAAACCGACUAUUGUCAAAUAAACCGUGGUAACAGUGA